Molecule: long non-coding RNA, 583 nt
Organism: Oncorhynchus tshawytscha (Chinook salmon)
Lineage: Eukaryota; Metazoa; Chordata; Actinopteri; Salmoniformes; Salmonidae
Source: Ensembl
GAUCUUGACAUUUAUUAAAGAGAACUGAGGAACAGAGGCAGGAACAGAGGGGGGAACAUAGGUGGGAACAGAGGGGGAACAGAGGCAGGAACAGAGGGGGGAACAGAGGGAGGAACAGAGGCAGGAGCAGAGGGAGGAACAUAGGCAGGAACAGAGGGAGGAACAGAGGGGGGAACAGAGGGGGGAACAGAGGCAGGAGCAGAGGCAGGAGCAGAGGGGGGAACAGAGGGGGGAACAUAGGGAGGAACAGAGGGGGGACAGAGGGAGGAACAGAGGCAGGAACAGAGGGAGGAACAGAGGCAGGAACAGAGGGAGGAACAGAGGGGGGAACAGAGGGAGGAACAGAGGGGGAACAGAGGCAGGAACAGAGGGGGAACAGAGGGAGGAAAAGAGGCAGGAACAGAGGGAGGAACAGAGGGGGAACAGAGGCAGGAACAGAGGGAGGAACAGAGGCAGGAACAGAGGCAGGAACAGAGGGAGGAAAAGAGGCAGGAACAGAGGGGGAACAGAGGGAGGAACAGAGGGAGGAACAGAGGCAGGAACAGAGGCAGGAACAGAGGGAGGAAAAGAGGCAGGAACAGAG